ACUUAAGUAGUUUAAGUAAAACAAUGAUUUGUGGAGUCAUGAAUAUAGAUUUUCUAUCUUGAGUA
RNAcentral lists this transfer RNA (65 nucleotides) under Bifidoprionus rufus. RNAcentral describes it as "tRNA-His". It matches the Rfam family "tRNA". From Rfam's summary of the family: Transfer RNA (tRNA) molecules are approximately 80 nucleotides in length. The record is from RNAcentral. Lineage: Eukaryota; Metazoa; Arthropoda; Insecta; Coleoptera; Cerambycidae.